GGGGAUAUAGUUUAAUUGGUAAAACAGCGAAUUUGCACUUCGUUAAUUUGGGAUCGAGUCCUGAUAUCUCCA
Non-coding RNA from Lasallia pustulata, 72 nucleotides. NCBI's taxonomy places the organism in Eukaryota, Fungi, Ascomycota, Lecanoromycetes, Umbilicariales, Umbilicariaceae. The record is from Rfam.